GCAGACACCCAACUAAUCACGGGGUUAAGAGGAUGGGAAGAUGCUGCCACCGUGAGCGACCACAAUCUGUCAUUGGCCGUCUGCCACCGUGUGUGAAUGGUCAUCUGGAAGAGCUGUCCAAACCGGGAGACCCUCAUGGCGGUUCCUGGGGGAGGCAGCUGGGAAGGUUGGGGUGUCCUGUCUAAAUUGGGUCUUACACGUUCCCUGCCUCUCGCCAUAUUGACUCAUCAGAUUUUUCAACUGAGUAACUGAUGAAUUAAUAAUUCCAAAUAAUGGAUGGUGUUACAGAAUGUUAAUGCAUCUCUGCGGGGUACAUGAAAGCCAGUGCGUCGUCGGAGAAGAGGAGCGGCCUCCACGCUUAUUAAUUUAGCCAUCUAAAUGAGAGUCAGAAUUUCAGCCUGAAUAAAUAUCGGGAGUUUGUUUAGGUCCCAGAGGUCUUUCAAAAAG
This is a long non-coding RNA of Bubalus bubalis (water buffalo), 447 nucleotides long. RefSeq lists it as uncharacterized. The record is from RefSeq and is a predicted model, not a curated record. The transcript has 2 exons. NCBI's taxonomy places the organism in Eukaryota, Metazoa, Chordata, Mammalia, Artiodactyla, Bovidae.